Molecule: non-coding RNA, 68 nt
Filed under: uncultured eukaryote
Lineage: Eukaryota
Source: RNAcentral
UUUCUUCUUCUUCUCUUUUCUUUUCUCUUUUUCUUUUUCUUUUUUCCUUUUUUUGACAACAGUGAGAA